UACAGAGGGGGCAAGCGUUAUUCGGAAUUAUUGGGCGUAAAGCGCGCGUAGGCGGACCUGCAAGUCGGGGGUGAAAGCCCGAGGCUCAACCUCGGAACUGCCUUCGAUACUGCGGGUCUCGAGUCCGGGAGAGGUGAGUGGAAUUCCUAGUGUAGAGGUGAAAUUCGUAGAUAUUAGGAAGAACACCAGUGGCGAAGGCGGCUCACUGGCCCGGUACUGACGCUGAGGCGCGAAAGCGUGGGGAGCAAACAGG
Molecule: ribosomal RNA, 253 nt
Filed under: uncultured bacterium
Lineage: Bacteria
Description: partial 16S ribosomal RNA
Rfam family: Bacterial small subunit ribosomal RNA
Source: RNAcentral